Molecule: ribosomal RNA, 460 nt
Filed under: uncultured bacterium
Lineage: Bacteria
Description: partial 16S ribosomal RNA
Rfam family: Bacterial small subunit ribosomal RNA
Source: RNAcentral
CCUACGGGUGGCAGCAGUGAGGAAUAUUGGUCAAUGGAGGCAACUCUGAACCAGCGAAGUAGCGUGCAGGAUGACGGCCCUAUGGGUUGUAAACUGCUUUUAUACGGGAGUAAACUGCGUUACGUGUGACUUAUUGCAGGUACCGCUUGAAUACGGACCGGCUAAUUCCGUGCCAGCAGCCGCGGUAAUACGGAAGGUCCGGGUGUUAUCCGGAUUUAGUGGGUUUAAAGGGAGCGAAGGCGGCCCCUUAAGCGUGAUGUGAAAGGCCCCGGCUCAACCGUGGCACUGCAGCGCGAACUGGGGGGCUAGAGUGCGGCGGAGGGAGGCGGAAUUCGUGGUGUAGCGGUGAAAUGCUUAGAUAUUAGGAAGAACACCGAUUGCGAAGGCAGCUUGCUGGAGCGUAACUGACGCUGAGGCUCGAAGGUGUGGGUAGCGAACAGGAUUAGAUACCCCAGUAGUC